Long non-coding RNA from Monodelphis domestica (gray short-tailed opossum), 1164 nucleotides. Lineage: Eukaryota; Metazoa; Chordata; Mammalia; Didelphimorphia; Didelphidae. The record is from Ensembl.
AUGGCUGAGCAGGUCCUGUAUGAGUCACAGAGGCACUAUGGCCACCAUGCAAGAAACAUUGAUCCUGUAGACGCAAUCCUGCUACUCAUAAGCCUCAUCAUCCUGGUCAACCUUGGAAUCAAUGUGAUGAUUCUGAUCUGUCGCAGUCUCUUGAGGUCCCUACACGGAACAUUUGUUUUCUUUCGAAAUGAAGGUAAGUUUUCCAAGAAGCCCCAGAAUUCUGAUAAGAAGCCAUCAGGGUUCCCAACUCUGUGCAUCCACUGUACCUUGGACCCCGUGGCUCUAAACGUGGCCCACACUGCACUCAACCGACGUCGUCGAGACCCUCAGAAUUCGGGAAGUGGCCAAGGCAGUUAUAAGGGAAGCUGCCGGGGCCGCCGGGAGCGUGCCCGCCAAUACUAUCUUCAACACCGUCACCAACCUCGGAUAUGCAUGCCCCAAUCCCCUCCCUCAUCUGCACCCCAACCCACUGCCUUCUGUUGCCAAGAAACCUGGGACACAGAUUUAGACGACUGUAAAGAUUCCCAGAACCCACAGUCCAACUACCAGCAGAGUUGGAACACAACCCAUCCACCUGGAAACGUCAGGCAUUACAGGCAGUGCUGGAGGAGUUACUAUCCAGAGGGAUCUAACCUCCCUCCUCAAGACCAGAGGGCUCCCAGAAGGGUGGAAGCAAAGUCUGAGUUGAGAUUCCAGAACCAUGAACCACAAAACUACCUUGCUUCUGCCCCAAAUGAGAACCAGAUCCCUGAGGUCUCCCAGCCCUCAACCUCUGUCUCAGCACGUGUCCCAGCCUCUGAACCAUGCCAUGUACCUGCCUUCACCCCCCUUAGCAGGAACCCAGGGGGCAUCACCAACUGCCAAGUAUAUGAUAGCCUGGAGCUGAAGCGGCAAAUUCAGGAAGGACGAGGGCGACGAGGGACUGUGUACAUCUACUGGGUUGUAGGAGAAGGUGUUCUCAGGCCUGAUUAUUCCCUGUAGGAAGACCUAAAAUCUAGAUCAUUCAAGAUUAAGUUAUAACAGAAACCAGAAGACCUCUCCCCAACCACCCCACUAUUAAUUUAGAUGCUGACUCUGGCACCCAAACCUGGGUAAGCCACCAAAUCUAAUACUGGUUUAAGAACUUAAUGCAGCAUAACUUAAUAAAUACUACAUAGAGAGGCA